GAUGAACGCUAGCGGCGGGCCUAAUACAUGCAAGUUGAACGGGAUUGUUGAUAGCAAUAUUGACAUGAGAGUGGCGCACGGGUGCGUAACACGUAUGUAACCUACCUUUAACUGGGGCAUAGCUUCGAGAAAUCGAAAUUAAUACCCCAUAACAUUUAGAAAAGGCAUCUUUUCUUUAUCAAAGCUCCGGCGGUUAAGGAUGGACAUGCGGUGCAUUUAGCUUGUUGGUGAGGUAACGGCUCACCAAGGCUACGAUGCAUAGGGGGUCUGAGAGGAUGAUCCCCCACACUGGUACUGGGACACGGACCAGACUCCUACGGGAGGCAGCAGUGGGGAAUAUUGGACAAUGGGCGAAAGCCUGAUCCAGCAAUGCCGCGUGAGUGAUGAAGGCCUUAGGGUUGUAAAGCUCUUUUACCAGGGAUGAUAAUGACAGUACCUGGAGAAUAAGCUCCGGCUAACUCCGUG
Molecule: ribosomal RNA, 465 nt
Filed under: uncultured bacterium
Lineage: Bacteria
Description: bacterial SSU rRNA
Rfam family: Bacterial small subunit ribosomal RNA
Source: RNAcentral